ACUCCUACGGGAGGCAGCAGUCGAGAAUCUUCCGCAAUGGGCGAAAGCCUGACGGAGCGACACCGCGUGCAGGACGAAGGCCUUCGGGUUGUAAACUGCUGUCACGCUCUAGGAAUGCCAUGUCGUUAAUAGCGGCAUGGUUGACCAAGGCGAGAGGAAGUGGCGGCUAGCUCUGUGCCAGCAGCCGCGGUAAGACAGAGGCCACGAACGUUGUUCGGAAUCACUGGGCAUAAAGCGCACGUAGGCGGCUGGGUCCGUCCGAUGUGAAAGCCCCCGGCUCAACCGGGGAAUUGCAUCGGAUACAGCCCGGCUUGAGGACGGUUGGGGUGAGUGGAACUCCU
Molecule: ribosomal RNA, 341 nt
Filed under: uncultured Planctomycetota bacterium
Lineage: Bacteria; Pseudomonadati; Planctomycetota
Description: bacterial SSU rRNA
Rfam family: Bacterial small subunit ribosomal RNA
Source: RNAcentral